Molecule: unclassified non-coding RNA, 357 nt
Filed under: soil metagenome
Description: partial contains 5.8S ribosomal RNA, internal transcribed spacer 2, and large subunit ribosomal RNA
Rfam family: 5.8S ribosomal RNA (bases 1-120)
Source: RNAcentral
GAUGAAGAACGUAGUGAAAUGCGAUACGUAAUGUGAAUUGCAGAAUUCAGUGAAUCAUCGAGUCUUUGAACGCACAUUGCGCCCCCUGGUAUUCCGGGGGGCAUGCCUGUCCGAGCGUCAUUUCAACCCUCAAGCUCUCCGGAGUAUGGUGUUGGGGCGCCUGGGGCUUUUCGACCUCAGGGCCCUCAAGUCCAUCGGCGGGACCGCCAGGACACUGAGCGCAGUAGUAUUAUUUCGCUCGGUAGGAUCUUCCACGGCGGGUCGAUCUGGCCGCUAAACCCCCCAAUUCUCACCAAAGGUUGACCUCGGAUCAGGUAGGAAUACCCGCUGAACUUAAGCAUAUCAAUAAGCGGAGGA